GGGACACAUCCGAAAAUAAAAACAAGUAUUAACUUUAGAAAGGGAAAAACAUUAUAAUUCAAAUGUAAAACUUCACCUUUAAUUUAUUGACAUAAAAUCUGCAAAUUGACCUCAAAAACCUAAAAGCCACCUCCAUUUAACUGAUCUGGUUUAAUCUAAAGCUCAUAGCUCCUUUCUUUAAUAUCACAUACACACUGUGAUGUGUUACAUAUCAAAUGAAUAUUUCAGCACCUGCUUUAUUUUAUGGACACUACCGUCUGAAUAGGUCUUAAACAGGCAUAUUGUCAGAGUUUCCGCUGCCCAAAUAUCUGGUAUGAAGAUUGGAUGAAAUGAUUUGAUAGUGAAACAUUAGCUUCUUUUAUAAUCUGAUGGCUGCCGAGCAUUCUUCAAGUGUAACGUGCACUCAAUAAUUAAAGUGCUCUAGUCACUCUAGUAUCAAUCUGAGCCAUCUGAUAGUCCUGUUUAAAAAAAAAAUGGGGGGUUGCUUUAAAAUAUUUGAACUGCACAUUUGGCUGCAGAUGAGUAUCAGACAAGACAGAAAGUGUCCGUAGUGAGACGGCGUUCACUGGAAUCAGUCGAUGUGAAGCGACGCAGGGUCAAAAGGUCAAAAGACUCCGUUUAAAGCUUUUCGCCGACGAGCUGAGCAGCCGAUCUGUGAACGUGAGCAGCGUUUCUCUGAGAACGAGGACGAUGAUUGAGGGGCUGCAGGAGGAACAGAAGGGGAGAUUAAAGGAACCUGGAAUGACAGCAGAAGAGCAGGACCCCACACGACGGGGGCCCUGAGAGGCCGCCUGAUUGACACCCCAUCGCAGCGCUACUGCCAGGGCCCCUCCCAGCGUUCGGGGGGGGGUCCUCAGCACAAUAUGCGCCAAACCGCGAGCAGACAAAUACACCUGUUCCGACGCACAAAGUGACAGGGGGAGAGCGUGGAGCGCAGAGGUCUGUUGCAGCGAGCUUGUACUUUGCAGCGCGGUACAGGAGCGAGACGUCGGGUCGAUCCCCCCACAAAGGCCUCUCGGUCUUUUGACAACAGCCAAAGCACGGUUCACCGUGCCCUGCGAGACAAAGUGAGCGCCUGAGAGACAACGGUACAGACGCUAAGAAAGUCAGACCCCCUGCUGUGAUUACUGCAUUUUGCUGAGUACCCUCUAUUUUUUUCCUCCUUUUACCUGUUUCCCAUCUUUUCUCAUGUAAGCGCUCGCACAUACACGAUGGAGCGGUGAAGUGGGUGAGGUAGACGGUACCAUGAUCUGAGAUGAUGAAAUAAACAGGCUGGUAGUCGCA
This 1284-nucleotide long non-coding RNA is filed under the name Betta splendens (Siamese fighting fish). RNAcentral describes it as "lncRNA (ENSBSLG00000000377.1)". The record is from RNAcentral. Lineage: Eukaryota; Metazoa; Chordata; Actinopteri; Anabantiformes; Osphronemidae.